Molecule: long non-coding RNA, 1700 nt
Filed under: Homo sapiens (human)
Lineage: Eukaryota; Metazoa; Chordata; Mammalia; Primates; Hominidae
Description: HSALNT0344164
Source: RNAcentral
UCCAGCUUCGUUAUGCCGUCUGGGGUAGCCUCCUUCACCUUUCCCAGAGCCUGUUUUCCCAGCUUUAUUACAGGUAGAUGACUCCUAUGUCAUUGGGUUGCAGUGAGGACCAGACGAGGUAACACACGCAGAAGAGACCUGUAGAGCCCCACUGGGGUGCUUCCUGCCCAAUCCCUCCUUCCCUCCCACCCUCCACAGGUGUCAGACCCGUGUCUCAGUCAGAAGACUUUCCCUGCCGACGUAUGCUCCCUCUAAUUCCACCUUGACAUUUGUUUCCCAGAAGUCUGGAACUGGCGCGGGGGCUUUGGAAGUAGCAAGUAGCAAUACAGUAGCAGCAAUGAGUGAUGGAAGCUGAUAGAAAAUGCAGUCACUUUGGUUAGCGGUUGGCCUGCACGAGAUGGCGUGGGCAUGUCAAUCUGAGGUCUCUGCCUCUGGUAGACAAGAUUUCUAUGCAUGAAAUAGAGUCCUGUUGCAGCCUGAGACCGAAAGUGCUGGCAGGGUUAAAGAAAUCAGGGCUGCAAAUCAACUGGGAUCUGCUAUAUUCACAGGACGUUGGAGUUUGGAUCUUGCUCAUGGCUGGCGAAGUGUUUAGAUCCUUUUGGAUGUCCUUCCAGAAGAGCACUCCCCAUCAACCCGCGGGCAGCUGAAUUCCCACCUCAGACUCUGCUCCAAGGGCGCCGUGUCUACGGAGGCGACGCUGAGGAUGGCUUAUCAGGUUGGGUCACUCACCCCACCACGAGGACCUGACCUUAAAUUCUCGGUGCAUCCUAAGUGUGACCCAGAGACCGCCUGCGUCAGAAGCACCUAGAAUGCUGUGGAAGCACCUUCAAUGCAGAUUCCUGGGCCCAACCCUGGUUCCACUGAAUCGGGGUCAGCUGGUGGGCCCAGGAAUUGGCAUUUUCAACAGCUUCCAAUUGUACACCAGAAUACUCAAGCUUGUGACUCCCCUGCUCACUGUUUUCUUCAUCCUUUCUCACUUCCUGCUGAGUACAUAUGUAUUUUACUACUUUUAGAGAUACUUUUACAAUAAAGGCAGUCUUGAAAGUGUGUCCGGAAUUGGUGGGUUCUUGGUCUCGCUGACUUCAAGAAUGAAGGCGCGGACCUGAGUGUUACAGUUCUUAAAGGCGGCACGUUGGGAGUUGUUCGUUUCUCCCGGUGGGCUCGUGGUCUCGCCGGCUUCAGAAGUGAAGCUGCAGACCUUCGCGGUGGGUGUUACAGCCCAUAGAGGCAACGAGUUCGGAAUUGUUCCUUCCUCCCGGUGGGCUCCUGGUCUCGAUAGCUUACAGGAACGAAGCUGCAGACCUUAGCGGUGGAUGCUACAGCUCAUAAAGGUAGUGCAGACCCAAAGACCAAGAGAACAAAACUACCACAACGCAGAACAGAACCCUAGCGGGUUGCCGCUGCUGGCUCAGUCUCCCCCACCCCCAGUUUGUUCUCGGGACAAACCAUCGGUCUAGGAUGAACUCCGUUUUCCACUGGAAGGUCUCAAGAGGCUAAAGGCACCCCACGGGCUUCUCCCCGAGGAAGGGACUGAGGACAGAGGAGGGCCACGGUUGCAAUGAGGACAGCUCCGGCUCAAAAGCGUCCCUGGACCCUUGACUCUCAGCUUGUCUUGUCUUCCUUAAUAAAUUUCAGUUUGCGGGGGAGGGGAGAGGGAUAGCAUUAGGAGAUAUACCUAAUGCUAAAUGACGAGUUAAUGG